RNAcentral lists this ribosomal RNA (402 nucleotides) under uncultured Rhodoplanes sp. RNAcentral's name for it is "bacterial SSU rRNA". It matches the Rfam family "Bacterial small subunit ribosomal RNA", at positions 353 to 772 of the family's 1533-position model. The record is from RNAcentral. Lineage: Bacteria; Pseudomonadati; Pseudomonadota; Alphaproteobacteria; Hyphomicrobiales; Nitrobacteraceae.
AGUUAGGAAUCUUGGACAAUGGGCGCAAGCCUGAUCCAGCCAUGCCGCGUGAGUGAUGAAGGCCCUAGGGUUGUAAAGCUCUUUCAGCGGGGAAGAUAAUGACGGUACCCGCAGAAGAAGCCCCGGCUAACUUCGUGCCAGCAGCCGCGGUAAUACGAAGGGGGCUAGCGUUGCUCGGAAUCACUGGGCGUAAAGCGCACGUAGGCGGCUUUCUAAGUCAGGGGUGAAAUCCCGGAGCUCAACUCCGGAACUGCCUUUGAUACUGGAAAGCUUGAGUCCGGGAGAGGUGAGUGGAACUGCGAGUGUAGAGGUGAAAUUCGUAGAUAUUCGCAAGAACACCAGUGGCGAAGGCGGCUCACUGGCCCGGUACUGACGCUGAGGUGCGAAAGCGUGGGGAGCAAA